GACGAACGCUGGCGGCGUGCUUAACACAUGCAAGUCGAACGCUGAAGCUCAGCUUUUGUUGGGUGGAUGAGUGGCGAACGGGUGAGUAACACGUGAGUAACCUGCCCCCUUCUUUGGGAUAACGCCCGGAAACGGGUGCUAAUACUGGAUAUUCACUGGCCUUCGCAUGGGGGUUGGUGGAAAGGGUUUUUCUGGUGGGGGAUGGGCUCGCGGCCUAUCAGCUUGUUGGUGGGGUGAUGGCCUACCAAGGCUUUGACGGGUAGCCGGCCUGAGAGGGUGACCGGUCACAUUGGGACUGAGAUACGGCCCAGACUACUACGGGAGGCGGCAGGGGGGAAUAUUGCACAAUGGGCGCAAGCCUGAUGCAGCGACGCCGCGUGAGGGAUGGAGGCCUUCGGGUUGUGAACCUCUUUCGCUCAUGGUCAAGCCGCAACAAUGGUUGUGGUGAGGGUAGUGGGUAAAGAAGCGCCGGCUAACUACGUG
RNAcentral lists this ribosomal RNA (483 nucleotides) under uncultured bacterium. RNAcentral describes it as "partial 16S ribosomal RNA". It matches the Rfam family "Bacterial small subunit ribosomal RNA", at positions 28 to 507 of the family's 1533-position model. The record is from RNAcentral.